Molecule: long non-coding RNA, 2419 nt
Organism: Oreochromis niloticus (Nile tilapia)
Lineage: Eukaryota; Metazoa; Chordata; Actinopteri; Cichliformes; Cichlidae
Exons: 3
Source: RefSeq, a predicted model, not a curated record
AGGACUUAUCAGGGCAGCUCAAAUAAGUCAAAAGAUAUAAACGAAAAACAAAUGUCCAUUACAGAGGAUAUAAAUGAAUAGGCCUGUCCUCAGACCUCAUCAGCACUGGUGGCAUGUUUGUGCUCUGUGUAAGCUAAUGUAAAGAGUGACUGUGAGCAAAGCUCAGACAGAAACUUAAAAUGAUCAGAAUCUGAAUUUUUUCAUGUGAUGUUGGGAUUCAGCAGUUCACUGCAGCAUUCAUAAAUUUGUUCCUGUUUGCAUUAUGUAGACUUGUUAAAAUAAUAAAACAGCAGUACACAUAAGAGCUCUUUUAAACUCAUUUUAAAUCACUGAAAACCAGAAACCAACACGUGGCACUCUGAGAGCACAGACCCCGCCAAGGCAGCUCACUCUCUGCGCAGGAUUUACUUUCAGUGCCAAUAGUGUUGUAUUUUCUGUAUGUUCAUUUUUUAAACUUUGUUCUUUUUAUUUGUAUUUUAAGAAAAUUGUAGUGCAACAGAAAUAGGUGCAAAUCGCAGGCUUUUGUUAUUUGCCCUGUUGAAACCCAUUUGAAUAUACUGUCAAGGUUCUCCUCAUCUUCUCUUUUUCUGUUGUAGAAUAGAAUUGAAUAGCCCUUUAUUUUCAUUGCACAUGUAUGCACAUAAUGGGUGCUCCAUGCCAACUGUGGCGGAAUAAAACAUAAAUAGUAAGACAGCAGGAAUAAAUAAGAAAAAGGAGAAAUGGAUUCAGUCAAGAUGAAUAUAUACAAAACAUGAGGGAGGCACACAUUAGAGAACAGGUUGCAAAGUGCUUGAAUGUAAUGCAAAGGACUUGGUCUGAAAGAGUCUGUGUGUAAGUGGUCUGAGCGAUGAAGGUUACUCACACCAUGGCUCAGAUUGGUGAGGUGGGGGGGCAGGAGUGGGGGGUAGUGUUUGUUAACAGUGCGAAUGGCCCAGGGGAAGAAGCUGUUUGUGAGUCUGAAGGUGUGGGACCUGAUUGACCUGAGGCACUGACCAGAGGGCAGCGGGUCAAACAGGCAGCCAGGGUGCAAGGGAUCACCUGUGACGGCCCUGGUUUUCCUGAGACAGGAGGAUCUGCUGAUGGCGUCCAGGGGUGGCAGAGGGCAGCCAGUGAUUUUUUUUUUUAAGGUGGUCUUAAUUACCGUCUGUGCAGCCUUCCAGUUCUCUGUUGUGGUCCGUGCGUAGCAAACACCCAGGCAGCAGGAGGCCACCCUCUCCACUGAGGAUCGUUAGAAAGCCAGCAGCAGCUUCUGGUCCAGGUUCUUCUUCCUCAGGACACAAAGGAAGUCCAGCUGCUGCUGGGCCUUCUUUAUGGUGUUGUGCAUCCAGGGAUGGGUCCUUCUGCUGCUUCCCACCUUCCACCUCCAUGCACCUGGGAUGAUUAACUCACCUGAAACCUGGAACUCGUGAGAACGUAUUCCUGUGGAGAGAAGGAAUUACGGAUCUGUCUGAAUUGGAGAUUUUGUUACCACAAGCUGCAAACUCCAUUUUUUCAUUUUUAUUAAUGUGGAUAUAUUACAUGUGUAGCAUUUGUUUCCUUAUAUAGUAAAAGUGUUUAAAUGUUUAGUAAUAAAUAUCAAGUGAAAGAUGUUUAAACACAGGUUUGUUCUGUUUAAGAAAAUGUGUUCAGGAACAUUGUCCAUGUAUUAGCAUUGUUAUAUAUUUAAACCUAAUAACCUGUUAUUAGUCAUAAUAAAAUAAUGUGAUAUUUAGAAUAACCACAUAGUUCAUAUACCUAUUUGUUGUUCAUUUAAAAAAAGACUUGUAACUUAGAUUCACCUGCUGGGCCCACGUCCUCAUUUUAGGUCUGACAGCAUUUUAGUAUUAUAGUAUUUCUAUUCUUGUGUUCUUGUAUGAAACACAGCUCUAUAUACCACAGUUAUCACCUUCAUAUCAAUCUAUUGACCAAAUGUGACAUAGUUGAAAUCUUUACACGAUACUUUAUGUGUUAACCAGACACACCACACUUGUAAAAAUCAUAGUUUGGAGUUAGAAGCCUUUUUUUCCCCCCGUUUUCAACCAAUAAAUUAUUAAGCUGACCUUGAAGACUUUGGUGGAUGUAAGCCAAGUUUCAAUGGACCGUCAGCACGACCCCACUCUACACCCCUACACAGUUUUAUUGGAAUUCAUUUAAAACUUUUCCAACUGUUGUGUUUACAGACAGAAUGAUGACACAUACACACGCAUGCACGCAAACACUACCAAAGACCUUCUUGGAAGAAGUAAAAAAAAACAUUAAAUGAAAUUCACAGCAUUGCACUGAAAUAACCGAAUAACUUUCACUGGACAUCUGAAGUGGUGUGUCAAGUUCAGUGCUGUUAAAUUCUUGCUUACAGAGUUUGAAAAUAACUUUUGAAAAGAUUCUUUAACUGUUUAAAACUCUGCUCUGUUUACUUUAGCCUGCCUUCUUAGAUGCUUCU